Molecule: long non-coding RNA, 851 nt
Organism: Cucurbita maxima (winter squash)
Lineage: Eukaryota; Viridiplantae; Streptophyta; Magnoliopsida; Cucurbitales; Cucurbitaceae
Exons: 2
Source: RefSeq, a predicted model, not a curated record
UUGAUUACGGCAACAUAAAUACAGAGAAAUGGAAGCUUACAAAAACUAGUUUCUUCUAUUUCGCUUCUUUUCCUACGGCUCUCUUCAAUUUUCUCCUUCUCUCAAGCUAGGGCAAAGUGCAUUUCAGCUUGAUUUGGAUCUUCGCUCAGUUGCUGUCAAGAAACGCAAGGCAAACUCCAGCGGCUAAGGAACACUCGUGUAUUCAGGUCUGUUUACAACAUACUCAGUUUUUUGCAUCGAUAUUUGGCCAUGGAUUUAGGGAUUACUCGUCAUAUUCAGCGCAAAAUUUCCAUCCAUAUUAGGAGGUAUUUAUGAACACUACUCUUAUAUGGUACAUUAUAAACACAAGAAAUGGAGAUGCAGGGUAUCGAUCCCCGUACUUCUUGCAUGCUAAGCAAGUGCUCUAUCAUAUGAGCUGCCUCCCCAAUUCAUUAUUCAAAUAUAUGGGAAACACAAGGCACGACAUAUCCUAACGGCUAAGGAACACUCGUCAUAAUCAGGUCUGUUUAUAAGUUACGUUAUAUUCAUGUUAUGAACUGUGGCUCUUACAAAAUGGAGAGGCAUGGUAUCGAUCCUGUAACUUACAUGCUAAGCAAGCACUCUACCAUAUGAGCCACAUCCCUAAUUCAUUAUUCCCGUACCUCUUGCAUGCUAAGCAAGCACUCUACUCCCAAUUCAUUAGUCAAAUAUAUGUGAAACACAAGGCAAACGACAUGUUCCAACGGCUAAGGAAUACUCGUCAUAUUCAGGUUCGUUUAUAAGUUACUCAGUUUUGCAUCAAUAUUUGGCCAUGGAUUUAGGGCCUUUGAAUUUGAUCCAAACCCAUCUAAAAUGGAGAUGCAAGAUGCAAA